This is a small nuclear RNA of Pecten maximus, 158 nucleotides long. RefSeq annotates it as U1 spliceosomal RNA. The transcript has a single exon. NCBI's taxonomy places the organism in Eukaryota, Metazoa, Mollusca, Bivalvia, Pectinida, Pectinidae. The record is from RefSeq and is a predicted model, not a curated record.
AUACUUACCUUGUGCAGGGAUAACCGUGGUCAAAAGGGCGGUUUCCCCAGGGUGAGGUCUGUCCAUUGCACAGCGGACAGACUGGCCCCUGCGAUCCCUAAUGGUGAUUCGGGCACGCAAUUUAUUAGUGUGGGGAUCUGCGUUCGCGCUCAUCCCCG